GACGAACGCUGGCGGCGUGCCUAAUACAUGCAAGUCGAGCGAGGUUUUUCUGGUGCUUGCACCGGAAAAACUUAGCGGCGAACGGGUGAGUAACACGUAAAGAACCUGCCUCAUAGACUGGGACAACUAUUGGAAACGAUAGCUAAUACCGGAUAAUAGCAUUAACUGCAUGGUUGAUGUUUAAAAGUUGGUUUUGCUAACACUAUGAGAUGGCUUUGCGGUGCAUUAGCUAGUUGGUGGGGUAAAGGCCUACCAAGGCGACGAUGCAUAGCCGACCUGAGAGGGUGAUCGGCCACACUGGGACUGAGACACGGCCCAGACUCCUACGGGAGGCAGCAGUAGGGAAUCUUCCGCAAUGGGCGAAAGCCUGACGGAGCAACGCCGCGUGAGUGAAGAAGGAUUUCGGUUCGUAAAGCUCUGUUGUUAGGGAAGAAUGAUUGUGUAGUAACUAUACACAGUAGAGACGGUACCUAACCAGAAAGCCACGGCUAACUACGUGC
Molecule: ribosomal RNA, 500 nt
Filed under: uncultured bacterium
Lineage: Bacteria
Description: partial 16S ribosomal RNA
Rfam family: Bacterial small subunit ribosomal RNA
Source: RNAcentral